UACGUAGGGUGCGAGCGUUAAUCGGAAUUACUGGGCGUAAAGCGUGCGCAGGCGGUUUUGCAAGACAGAUGUGAAAUCCCCGGGCUCAACCCGGGAACUGCGUCCGAUACUGGAAGGCUUGAAUCCGGGAGAGGGAUGCGGAAUUCCAGGUGUAGCGGUGAAAUGCGUAGAUAUCUGGAGGAACACCGGUGGCGAAGGCGGCAUCCUGGACCGGUAUUGACGCUGAGGCGCGAAAGCCAGGGGAGCAAACGGG
This 253-nucleotide ribosomal RNA is filed under the name uncultured bacterium. Its description in RNAcentral is "partial 16S ribosomal RNA". It matches the Rfam family "Bacterial small subunit ribosomal RNA", at positions 524 to 776 of the family's 1533-position model. The record is from RNAcentral.